RNAcentral lists this unclassified non-coding RNA (356 nucleotides) under soil metagenome. RNAcentral's name for it is "partial contains 5.8S ribosomal RNA, internal transcribed spacer 2, and large subunit ribosomal RNA". The stretch from base 1 to 120 matches the Rfam family "5.8S ribosomal RNA", at positions 35 to 154 of the family's 154-position model. The record is from RNAcentral.
GAUGAAGAACGUAGUGAAAUGCGAUAAUUAAUGUGAAUUGCAGAAUUCAGUGAAUCAUCGAAUCUUUGAACGCACAUUGCGCCCGCCAGUAUUCUGGCGGGCAUGCCUGUCCGAGCGUCAUUUCAACCCUCGAACCCCUCCGGGGGGUCGGCGUUGGGGAUCGGGAACCCCUAAGACGGGAUCCCGGCCCCGAAAUACAGUGGCGGUCUCGCCGCAGCCUCUCCUGCGCAGUAGUUUGCACAACUCGCACCGGGAGCGCGGCGCGUCCACGUCCGUAAAACACCCAACUUCUGAAAUGUUGACCUCGGAUCAGGUAGGAAUACCCGCUGAACUUAAGCAUAUCAAUAAGCGGAGGA